This 442-nucleotide ribosomal RNA is filed under the name Streptomyces sp. NS01. RNAcentral's name for it is "bacterial SSU rRNA". It matches the Rfam family "Bacterial small subunit ribosomal RNA", at positions 415 to 868 of the family's 1533-position model. The record is from RNAcentral. Lineage: Bacteria; Bacillati; Actinomycetota; Actinomycetes; Kitasatosporales; Streptomycetaceae.
CCUUCGGGUUGUAAACCUCUUUCAGCAGGGAAGAAGCGCAAGUGACGGUACCUGCAGAAGAAGCGCCGGCUAACUACGUGCCAGCAGCCGCGGUAAUACGUAGGGCGCAAGCGUUGUCCGGAAUUAUUGGGCGUAAAGAGCUCGUAGGCGGCUUGUCACGUCGGGUGUGAAAGCCCGGGCUUAACCCCGGGUCUGCAUCCGAUACGGGCAGGCUAGAGUGUGGUAGGGGAGAUCGGAAUUCCUGGUGUAGCGGUGAAAUGCGCAGAUAUCAGGAGGAACACCGGUGGCGAAGGCGGAUCUCUGGGCCAUUACUGACGCUGAGGAGCGAAAGCGUGGGGAGCGAACAGGAUUAGAUACCCUGGUAGUCCACGCCGUAAACGUUGGGAACUAGGUGUUGGCGACAUUCCACGUCGUCGGUGCCGCAGCUAACGCAUUAAGUUCC